Ipomoea nil (Japanese morning glory) is the source of this 862-nucleotide long non-coding RNA. RefSeq lists it as uncharacterized. The record is from RefSeq and is a predicted model, not a curated record. Lineage: Eukaryota; Viridiplantae; Streptophyta; Magnoliopsida; Solanales; Convolvulaceae. The transcript is spliced from 7 exons.
UUUAAAAAACUUCAGCAUUUCUCCCUCCCUAGCCUCUGCGUAAACCUCUGCCUCACACGCCGACGAACCAACCAAGCAACAUCGCAUCUUCCCUCCUGGCCAGCCGACGUCGUUUCUCCCUCCCCGGCCAGCCACCGCCGUCGCUCCAAUCUCCUCCGGCGUCACCUCUUCCCUCCUCUGCUGCUGUCGCCACUUCCCGGCCUCCUCUACCGCCGGCAUGCCUCUUCCCGGCCUCCUCUCCCGCCGUUAAGCUCCUACAGGUUUGUCCUCAAUUUUUUUUACCCAAAUCCCUAAUUUCUGAAUUGUAUCGUUGAAUUUCCAUAUUUGAAAGCUAUAAAUGUUUUUAAACCCUAGGUUAGUUGUGGAUUAUAGGUUAGUUUAUGAGAGAGGAGCUAGGCUGCUAGGUGAGUCUAUACUGGAAUGGAACCUACUGUGUAUUUCGUAUAUUAUGGUUUCUACAACACAUUGUGGUUAUGUUGAGGCUGUGCGAGGUAGCUGGUUACAAGCAGGCAAUUGAUACAAGAGAUGCAUUGGCGAAAUUUGUAUAUGCAAGCUUGUUUGACUGGGUUGUAGAUAAGAUAAAUACAUCGCUUGCAAUGGGAAAGCAACAUACUAAACAAAAGCUGUUAGGUGAAGCUGGACAUAUGCAAUAAACAUUAACUUUUACACGCUAAGUUGAAUAUGAGUUGGAUAGAAUUGACUGGAGAAAAGUUGAAUUUCAAGACAACCAAGCAUGUUUAGAUCUCAUUGAGCAGCUCCAUCACUGAAAUUGAUUGAUUUUCAUGGGCCGGGGUAGAUAAAGGAAAUCUUGAUGAUUCAUUGUUUCAACAAGUUGAUUAUGACAAAGCGGUUAUUGAUCUGG